AAUUUCCUACGGGGGGCAGCAGUAGGGAAUCUUCGGCAAUGGGGGCAACCCUGACCGAGCAACGCCGCGUGAGUGAAGAAGAUUUUCGGAUCGUAAAGCUCUGUUGUAAGUCAAGAACGGGUGUGGGAGUGGAAAGUUCACACUGUGACGGUAGCUUACCAGAAAGGGACGGCUAACUACGUGCCAGCAGCCGCGGUAAUACGUAGGUCCCGAGCGUUGUCCGGAUUUAUUGGGCGUAAAGCGAGCGCAGGCGGUUUGAUAAGAC
This 265-nucleotide ribosomal RNA is filed under the name uncultured bacterium. Its description in RNAcentral is "partial 16S ribosomal RNA". It matches the Rfam family "Bacterial small subunit ribosomal RNA", at positions 333 to 589 of the family's 1533-position model. The record is from RNAcentral.